AUGACAACUGGGUCCUUAUCACAUUUUCCUUCCCUUUCCAGCCUCAUUUCGGUCUUCUCCGUUCUGUUUGUAUUUGCCAGCACCCUCGUCCAGCCAGCCCUGUGUUGCCUUCAUCUUCUCCAGUUACCCAGGGAGACCCAAAAGUUGUCUCUUCUCCGAGUAGGGAACCAGUGGAAUGGAUCCCUGAAACUCAGUGAACAUAGCGUUGCUUCACUCCAGCAUUUCCAUGCACACGAGCAUUCUGUUACCUCUGACACAAUUGCAUCUGAAUUGCUGAUGGAGCGAGCCAACUUCAAAUGCCCAUUGAUGGAAUCUUUGAAUGGAGACAGAUGCAGACUCAAAAGUUUGCAUGCCAACACAGAAAAGCAGCCUCCACACUUCUUAGGAUUCAAUUUGAAAAUUUCGGUUAAUUAAUUUUAGCCUAAAUAACUCUGACAAUGUGGAAAAUUCAUUAUGCAGUUUAUCAGAAGAGAUGCAUAAGCCACUCCUCAGGAAAAUUCCUUAAAAUGUUCCUUUUUCUCUUAAGCAUUUUGAUUCUCAGAGUAACCUUUCCUAUCUUUACACUUGGAUGGAAGUAGAAGAACAGUAUGACAGAUUAGAGCCAAAGUAUUUAUCCGGAACAGACAUUUUCGAGUCUUUGUAAGACUAAGUGCAACUCCCACUGGAGUUCAUUUUUCGUGGUUUUGUAUAACGUUAGAAAACAGCAUGGGGGCGCCCGGGUGACUCAGUCGGUUGGGCAUCCGACUUCGGCUCAGGCCAUGAUCUCACAGUCCGUGGGUUUGAGCCCCGCGUCGGGCUCUGUGCUGACAGCUCGGAGGCCGGAGCCUGCUUCAGAUUCUGUGUCUCCCUCUCUCUCUGCCCCUUCUUGGCUCACACUCUGUCUCUCUCUCUCAAAAAUAAAUAAACAUUAAAAACAAUUUAAUAAAAAAAU
RNAcentral lists this long non-coding RNA (931 nucleotides) under Felis catus (domestic cat). Its description in RNAcentral is "lncRNA (ENSFCAG00000050571.1)". Lineage: Eukaryota; Metazoa; Chordata; Mammalia; Carnivora; Felidae. The record is from RNAcentral.